Molecule: ribosomal RNA, 497 nt
Filed under: uncultured bacterium
Lineage: Bacteria
Description: partial 16S ribosomal RNA
Rfam family: Bacterial small subunit ribosomal RNA
Source: RNAcentral
GAUGAACGCUGGCGGCGUGCCUAAUACAUGCAAGUCGAGCGAACAGAUGAGGAGCUUGCUCCUCUGACGUUAGCGGCGGACGGGUGAGUAACACGUGGAUAACCUACCUAUAAGACUGGGAUAACUUCGGGAAACCGGAGCUAAUACCGGAUAAUAUAUUGAACCGCAUGGUUCAAUAGUGAAAGACGGUUUUGCUGUCACUUAUAGAUGGAUCCGCGCCGCAUUAGCUAGUUGGUAAGGUAACGGCUUACCAAGGCGACGAUGCGUAGCCGACCUGAGAGGGUGAUCGGCCACCCUGGAACUGAGACACGGUCCAGACUCCUACGGGAGGCAGCAGUAGGGAAUCUUCCGCAGUGGGCGAGAGCUUGACGGAGCAACGCCGCGUGAGUGAUGAAGGUCUUCGGAUCGUAAAACUCUGUUAUUAGGGAAGAACAAAUGUGUAAGUAACUAUGCACGUCUUGACGGUACCUAAUCAGAAAGCCACGGCUAACUACGUG